AGCCUUGUGGGUUUUAAUUUUGAUGCAAACGCGAAGAACCUUUACCUACUCUUGACAUCNACAGAAGCCAGCGGAGACGCAGGUGUGCCUUCGGGAAACUGUAAGACAGGUGCUGCAUGGCUGUCGUCAGCUCGUGUUGUGAAAUGUUGGGUUAAGUCCCGCAACGAGCGCAACCCUUAUCCUUGUUUGCCAGCACUUCGGGUGGGAACUCCAGGGAGACUGCCGGUGAUAAACCGGAGGAAGGUGGGGACGACGUCAAGUCAUCAUGGCCCUUACGAGUAGGGCUACACACGUGCUACAAUGGCGCAUACAGAGGGCGGCCAACUUGCGAAAGUGAGCGAAUCCCAAAAAGUGCGUCGUAGUCCGGAUUGGAGUCUGCAACUCGACUCCAUGAAGUCGGAAUCGCUAGUAAUCGUGGAUCAGAAUGCCACGGUGAAUACGUUCCCGGGCCUUGUACACACCGCCCGUCACACCAUGGGAGUGGGCUGCAAAAGAAGUGGGUAGUUUAACCUUCGGGAGGACGCUCACCACUUUGUGGUUCAUGACUGGGGUGAAGUCGUAACAAGGUAACCG
RNAcentral lists this ribosomal RNA (573 nucleotides) under uncultured bacterium. RNAcentral's name for it is "bacterial SSU rRNA". It matches the Rfam family "Bacterial small subunit ribosomal RNA", at positions 935 to 1502 of the family's 1533-position model. The record is from RNAcentral.